Molecule: ribosomal RNA, 431 nt
Filed under: uncultured bacterium
Lineage: Bacteria
Description: bacterial SSU rRNA
Rfam family: Bacterial small subunit ribosomal RNA
Source: RNAcentral
AACGAACGCUGGCGGCAGGCCUAAAACAUGCAAGUCGAACGAACCUUCGGGUUAGUGGCGCACGGGUGAGUAACGCGUGGGAAUGUACCUUUUGGUGCGGAAUAACGUAGGGAAACUUACGCUAAUACCGCAUAAUAUCUUCGGAUCAAAGAUUUAUCGCCAAGAGAUCAGCCCGCGUUAGAUUAGGUAGUUGGUAGGGUAAUGGCCUACCAAGCCUACGAUCUAUAGCUGGUCUGAGAGGAUGAUCAGCCACACUGGAACUGAGACACGGUCCAGACUUCUACGGGAGGCAGCAGUUAGGAAUAUUGGACAAUGGGGGAAACCCUGAUCCAGCCAUGCCGCGUGUGUGAAGAAGGCCUUAGGGUUGUAAAGCACUUUCGUCCGCGAAGAUAAUGACAGUACCGGAAGAAGAAGCUCCGGCUAAAUUCGUG